AAUCAACGCUGGCGGCGUGCCUAACACAUGCAAGUCGAACGAGAAAGUGGAGCAAUCCAUGAGUAAAGUGGCGCGCGGGUGAGUAACACGUGACUAACCUACCCUUGAGUGGGGGAUAACCUAGGGAAACCUGGGCUAAUACCGCAUAAUACCUACGGGUCAAAGGAGCAAUUCGCUUUGGGAGGGGUCGCGGCCGAUUAGUUAGUUGGCAGGGUAAUGGCCUACCAAGACGAUGAUCGGUANCCGGCCUGAGAGGGCGCACGGACACACUGGAACUGAAACACGGUCCAGACUCCUACGGGAGGCAGCAGUGGGGAAUUUUGCGCAAUGGGGGAAACCCUGACGCAGCAACGCCGCGUGGAGGAUGAAGUCCCUUGGGACGUAAACUCCUUCCGAUCGGGACGAUAAUGACGGUACCGGAAGAAGAAGCCCCGGCUAACUUCGUGCCA
Molecule: ribosomal RNA, 449 nt
Filed under: uncultured bacterium
Lineage: Bacteria
Description: bacterial SSU rRNA
Rfam family: Bacterial small subunit ribosomal RNA
Source: RNAcentral